This 465-nucleotide ribosomal RNA is filed under the name uncultured bacterium. Its description in RNAcentral is "partial 16S ribosomal RNA". It matches the Rfam family "Bacterial small subunit ribosomal RNA", at positions 28 to 507 of the family's 1533-position model. The record is from RNAcentral.
GACGAACGCUGGCGGCGUGCUUAACACAUGCAAGUCGUACGGUAAGGCCCUUUCGGGGGUACACGAGUGGCGAACGGGUGAGUAACACGUGAGUAACCUGCCCACAACUUUGGGAUAACGCUAGGAAACUGGUGCUAAUACUGGAUAUGUGCUCCUGCUGCAUGGUGGGGGUUGGAAAGCUCCGGCGGUUGUGGAUGGACUCGCGGCCUAUCAGCUUGUUGGUGGGGUAGUGGCCUACCAAGGCGGCGACGGGUAGCCGGCCUGAGAGGGUGACCGGCCACAUUGGGACUGAGAUACGGCCCAGACUCCUACGGGAGGCAGCAGUGGGGAAUAUUGCACAAUGGGCGCAAGCCUGAUGCAGCAACGCCGCGUGCGGGAGGACGGCCUUCGGGUUGUAUACCGCUUUCAGCAGGGACGAAGCUUUUUGUGACGGUACCUGCAGAAGAAGCACCGGCUAACUACGUG